Long non-coding RNA from Dermacentor albipictus, 994 nucleotides. RefSeq lists it as uncharacterized. The record is from RefSeq and is a predicted model, not a curated record. Lineage: Eukaryota; Metazoa; Arthropoda; Arachnida; Ixodida; Ixodidae.
GAUUAAUUUUGACCACCUGGGCUUCCUUUAACGUGCACCGAAUGCACGUCGCUCGCGAAUGGCGAAACGCCCGUGCCGGUGAAGACGAAGAUCGGCGCAGCAGGUACGGUCGCGGCUGCCACCGGCUACCGCGGGUCAUGGUUGCUGAGCCCCGUCGUCGGCAGCCGACCGAGGAGGACUACUUCGCCGAUUCCGAGAUGGCCAACGGGUACGACGAGCGCAGGCGGAGGAGAUACUCGGAGCAGGGACCCCCCGACGGCUGCAUUCUCAACGAGUUCCCGCACACCAGUCGGUCCCGAAUCGUUGUCAGCAUCGUCGCGGUCCUGCUGGUGAUCAUCCUCUACCAGCUCUUCUUCGUUUGAAAAUUCCUCACAGCCCAGCGAGCGCGGUGAGGCUGGAGCCCGCGCAGCGUGUCACGCAUUUGUCUCUAGCAAACGGCCGUCGUGUUCGAGUGAAGGACCCCUUCGCAGCUGCACGAGUGCGGUGGGCCUGGAGUACACAGGCAGCCCGUCCGACUGCUACAGCUCCAGGAGUUCGAAAAGGCGGGGGGGUGGCAACCUCCGGCGACGCGGGCUCUCGUAAUGCGGCCAUGACCCGGACUGUCCUCGCUCCUCUCUCGACGGAAAACAAAAAUGCGUAUUGAAAGACGGGAAGCUUCGCCGCGCUGACAAAAUCACCGCUCGCGGCGAUCUGACCGGGGCAGCCAUGGAUCCUUGUUCAAGCGUCACAUCCUGGAUCAAGCAGCGAUUGAAUCUCCCUGUCAAAUAGACUAUUCGUUUUUCGAUGCAAGUUCAUCGGCUGUUGAAGUUCCCUGCCUACAUGACGUUUCGGUGGUACCUUCGCGACUGUUCGUGAAAUUGACAGAUAGGAAGCGUCAAAAAAUUGAAACCAUGAAGUCAGGUCGCUGCUUCACUCUACUGAAUAGGCUCACUGACUGUGUCAGAUCUUUACUGCUCCUAAUGUGAAUUGCCUAGUAAACAAUUACACUGCACAA